RNAcentral lists this ribosomal RNA (497 nucleotides) under uncultured bacterium. Its description in RNAcentral is "partial 16S ribosomal RNA". It matches the Rfam family "Bacterial small subunit ribosomal RNA", at positions 28 to 507 of the family's 1533-position model. The record is from RNAcentral.
GAUGAACGCUGGCGGCGUGCCUAAUACAUGCAAGUCGAGCGAACGGACGAGAAGCUUGCUUCUCUGAUGUUAGCGGCGGACGGGUGAGUAACACGUGGAUAACCUACCAACAAGACUGGGAUAACUUCGGGAAACCGGAGCUAAUACCGGAUAAUAUUUUGAACCGCAUGGUUCAAAAGUGAAAGACGGUCUUGCUGUCACUUAUAGAUGGAUCCGCGCUGCAUUAGCUAGUUGGUAAGGUAACGGCUUACCAAGGCAACGAUGCAUAGCCGACCUGAGAGGGUGAUCGGCCACACUGGAACUGAGACACGGUCCAGACUCCUACGGGAGGCAGCAGUAGGGAAUCUUCCGCAAUGGGCGAAAGCCUGACGGAGCAACGCCGCGUGAGUGAUGAAGGUCUUCGGAUCGUAAAACUCUGUUAUUAGGGAAGAACAUAUGUGUAAGUAACUGUGCACAUCUUGACGGUACCUAAUCAGAAAGCCACGGCUAACUACGUG